This 556-nucleotide ribosomal RNA is filed under the name Salmonella enterica subsp. enterica serovar Uganda. Its description in RNAcentral is "bacterial SSU rRNA". It matches the Rfam family "Bacterial small subunit ribosomal RNA", at positions 956 to 1512 of the family's 1533-position model. The record is from RNAcentral. Lineage: Bacteria; Pseudomonadati; Pseudomonadota; Gammaproteobacteria; Enterobacterales; Enterobacteriaceae.
GCAACGCGAAGAACCUUACCUGGUCUUGACAUCCACGGAAGUUUUCAGAGAUGAGAAUGUGCCUUCGGGAACCGUGAGACAGGUGCUGCAUGGCUGUCGUCAGCUCGUGUUGUGAAAUGUUGGGUUAAGUCCCGCAACGAGCGCAACCCUUAUCCUUUGUUGCCAGCGGUCCGGCCGGGAACUCAAAGGAGACUGCCAGUGAUAAACUGGAGGAAGGUGGGGAUGACGUCAAGUCAUCAUGGCCCUUACGACCAGGGCUACACACGUGCUACAAUGGCGCAUACAAAGAGAAGCGACCUCGCGAGAGCAAGCGGACCUCAUAAAGUGCGUCGUAGUCCGGAUUGGAGUCUGCAACUCGACUCCAUGAAGUCGGAAUCGCUAGUAAUCGUGGAUCAGAAUGCCACGGUGAAUACGUUCCCGGGCCUUGUACACACCGCCCGUCACACCAUGGGAGUGGGUUGCAAAAGAAGUAGGUAGCUUAACCUUCGGGAGGGCGCUUACCACUUUGUGAUUCAUGACUGGGGUGAAGUCGUAACAAGGUAACCGUAGGGGAACC